Molecule: ribosomal RNA, 429 nt
Filed under: Chloroflexota bacterium
Lineage: Bacteria; Bacillati; Chloroflexota
Description: Chloroflexi bacterium partial 16S ribosomal RNA
Rfam family: Bacterial small subunit ribosomal RNA
Source: RNAcentral
UGGGGAAUAUUGCACAAUGGGCGCAAGCCUGAUGCAGCCAUGCCGCGUGUAUGAAGAAGGCCUUCGGGUUGUAAAGUACUUUCAGCGGGGAGGAAGGGAGUAAAGUUAAUACCUUUGCUCAUUGACGUUACCCGCAGAAGAAGCACCGGCUAACUCCGUGCCAGCAGCCGCGGUAAUAUGGAGGGUGCAAGCGUUAAUCGGAAUUACUGGGCGUAAAGCGCACGCAGGCGGUUUGUUAAGUCAGAUGUGAAAUCCCCGGGCUCAACCUGGGAACUGCAGCUGAUACUGGCAAGCUUGAGUCUCGUAGAGGGGGGUAGAAUUCCAGGUGUAGCGGUGAAAUGCGUAGAGAUCUGGAGGAAUACCGGUGGCGAAGGCGGCCCCCUGGACGAAGACUGACGCUCAGGUGCGAAAGCGUGGGGAGCAAACAGG